Tilletiopsis washingtonensis is the source of this 82-nucleotide non-coding RNA. The record is from the annotation of a RefSeq genome assembly. NCBI's taxonomy places the organism in Eukaryota, Fungi, Basidiomycota, Exobasidiomycetes, Entylomatales.
GCCCCUAUAGUUUAACGGUAGAAUACGGUACUAGUACAUAGUAUGCCAUACUGAGGAGGUAGUUCGAUUCUGCCUGGGGGCA